AUGAAAUUUAUAGAUUAGAAAUCCGGUGAUGGGGUGAUGUGGGAUAGUUUUGAUCAGUUGUCUGAAAAUUCAGGGGAUUGCAAGGAUCAGGAUGGUGAGAAGGGAAGAUUUGUUGUGGGAGCGAUUAAGAAUUACACAAACCAGCUCCUGGACUAUGGCAAAGACACUCAAUAUAACCUCACACAAGCUCUUCUGUUCCUCUCUCAUUUUAUGGAAGAUGUACAUCAGGUGAGCAUGAUAAAGCACGAAAAUCACCAUAUACUAAGCUAGCAUCUGACUUUCCAAUUUAGUUAUUGUAAUGGUUCUUUUGCAUGGUAAAUCUGCCGCCUCUACAUGUGGGAUUUACCUCUGACAAAGGAGGAAAUUUAAUUAACAUUCACCGGUAUAGAAGGAAGCAAAAUCUUCACCAUAUAAGUCUAAUUCUCAGGUUCAUUCACUACUACUGUAUGAUCUAUAUCACCAUCUACUCUACUCACCAAUUUUUUGCUACACAGGUUUGGGAUGUCAACAUAAUUGAAACAGUCGAAGAAAGAUUCUAUGACUUAGACAUAAAUAGCUUCACCAAAGCCAUUCAAGAGAAUAUAACUGUAUUUUAUCCCAAUGUAUGAUACUUCUUAUCAAAGAUUGAUGCUUACUCCAAAUUCUCUGAAACAGAAAACAUGGUCUGAUCAAGUACGCGGAUGGGAAACCUGCAAUUCUAAGGAAACUACUUGCCCAGAUCCAGAUAUGACACUGGGGAUAUUGGUAUUCAAAAAGGGCAAAUUUGUACAAUUGGGCAUUGGCACAUGCAAUAUAAUUAAACAAACUAAGAAAUAUCAGCAUAAAUCUAAGCAGGGAAGAACAACAACAUAUGAUGUUACAAUUGGAACUACCACUAAAGAUGGUCAGAUCUGGUAUCUCUCCCUAGACAAAGAUACAGGUACUAAAUGCAUGAUGACCUUGAAAUAUGCACUUUUUUCAACCUGCAUUGUAUACUACGAUUUGAUGAGAAGAAUUCGAACUGUUAGCAUCAAAUGUGCAAAUUUCUUCUUUUUCGAUCUGUUAUCCAACUCAGCUUGUGCAAGGUAUAUCAACACAAAAACCAGUCUAUUUGAAACUCAUGGCCAAGUAAUAGUUUUAGAUUUGAAAAUGCUUUAUGAAUAUUUAUAUUUGUUAGUGGUUGCUAUAAUAAGAUGGAAUGUUGAUGUUGUUGUGAUUGUGUAUAUUUCAUUUUGUGGUCAUUUUUAUAUUUGGGGUGUAAAUGAUCUAAACUGCAUCUGAAUAAAUUGUUAAACUAUUUAUAUUAUGUUUAGUGUAUCCCUAACUUUCUUUUAUUUCUGUAUAGUUUCCAUGUUUAUAGUUCCUUUUCUCAAUAUUUUUAUCAUGUUUUUCAGACAUAAUUAUUACAGCACAUCAUGAUUUGGAACACUGUCGUUGUUAUUGUUUGGUUGUAAAUUGACUUAGGAGAUGCUGUUUAUCCUUACUUUUGUUUAAUUAAAUCAUUGAAGCUUCUAAUGUCUAAGAUCCUGAUUCGGAUUAACUUU
Vigna angularis (adzuki bean) is the source of this 1523-nucleotide long non-coding RNA. RefSeq lists it as uncharacterized. The transcript has 3 exons. Lineage: Eukaryota; Viridiplantae; Streptophyta; Magnoliopsida; Fabales; Fabaceae. The record is from RefSeq and is a predicted model, not a curated record.